AUGAAGCCAGCGAGGAUGUUCCCGUGCCGGCCGCUGGUGUCCCCGCCGCUACCGCGGGCCCUCGCCGCCGCGCCGCACGUCUCCGUGCGGCGGCUGCCAUGGCCAUCGACGUUGCUGCGCGUGGUGCGGUGCAUGGCCAAGGAGCGGCGGGUGCGGAUGGUGGCGAAGCAGAUCCAGCGGGAGCUGGCGGACAUGUUGACCCGCGACCCCGUCAUGCAGCGCGCCGUCCUCCCCGAGGCCGCCCUCGGCGCCGACCACUACCUCUCCUCCCUCACCACCGUCGCCGACCUCGAGCUCUCCAACGACCUCCAGGUGUGCAAGGUGUAUGUGUCCGUGUUCGGGGACGAGAGGGGGAAGAAGGUGGCCAUGGCCGGGCUCAAGGACUAG
RNAcentral lists this ribosomal RNA (387 nucleotides) under Triticum aestivum (bread wheat). RNAcentral's name for it is "partial small subunit ribosomal RNA". Lineage: Eukaryota; Viridiplantae; Streptophyta; Magnoliopsida; Poales; Poaceae. The record is from RNAcentral.